Long non-coding RNA from Symphalangus syndactylus (siamang), 13497 nucleotides. RefSeq lists it as uncharacterized. The record is from RefSeq and is a predicted model, not a curated record. Lineage: Eukaryota; Metazoa; Chordata; Mammalia; Primates; Hylobatidae.
AAUUUCAUCUCUCACUGGGAGAAAAAGAAUAACAAUACUCAUACUCAUAAUGCUGUGGCUCUUUAGAACCUGUUUAUAUGAAAAUAAUAUAGAUCUUGCCUCUGCAGUUCCCUAAUACCAUUCACUGAUGUUGUUUAUAUUAUUCGUGAUGCUGUUUCAUCCAUUGUGUUGCCUGUGAAUAUUGGUUUCCAAUGACUAAAGGUUUGUUAGUGUGCUUUGUUGAUGGUCAUCACAAAUGCAGGUGUUCCAUGGUGUAGGAAGAAAAAAAUGGGAAUGAUAAUUUCUGGUCAUGUUAAAUUUAUUUUUCAGAAUUUUAUAACUUAGAAACACAUCUUUCAGUUUUACUUUUCUUGAACUCAUUAGAUCAUAUUCACUGCAUUCCUAAAAUGUGAUCCCUUUCAAUGUUGACCUCUCUUCUGUCCCCUAUUCCCCCAUACAGCCACCAGCAGAAAGGAGAGAUGAGUAAGAAUGUUCUCAUUGGCACAAGGAAUGUUUGUCCCUAGAAUGGCACAGCUUAAGACAGAACUAGGAAAUCGCAGAUUUACCACAUUGAUCAGAGGCAGGAGAAGGCUUGAUUGGAAAAGCCCAUUGGUGUUGCUAAUCAACAAUCUAGAAAGCCCUUAGAGGGCAGGCAUAGUUAACCUCAGAAAACUCCGUGACAUUGGCUAGUGUGCUUUGUGGAGGGAGUCAGGUUAGAUCUUGGGACAGCCCACAUACCUAGACAAACUUAGGCUUUCCAGCUUGCACUGGACCAGGGUGGAAAGGAAGGGUAGAUGUCUACCCAAAUGGAAUAUUGAGUAUCAGAGACUUCAAAUGAUAACUUAUUGUUUGUCUGGAGAAAAUCUUGAGGACAUGAUCACUGUACAAAAGCAUGGCAAAAUGAGGAAACCACUGACAGGUGAAGAAUCUGCAUAAUGGAAAACCACCUUGACCAUCUCAUGACUUUAUACAGGAAUCGGAGGUAAGUGUUCCUUUAAAGUGAUUUUGUCAUAAAAGAGUCAUCUGAAAUGACCCUCAUGAUGGAGGUAAGGAAAGUAAUGAAAUCAACAUUCAUGGUUAUUUAAAAUGACUUAAAAGCUAAGCAUAAUAUACAUAGUAACUCCUUUUCCUAGUAUAAAAAUAGUGCCAGAAACUAUAUUUGUUCAAAUAUAUUGAAAAGGUAUAAGAAUACAAAUAGAUAUUAACAGUGGCUAGUGAUGCCUCAUAAGGUUUUCUUUUCUUAAACUGUAAUAUAAAUUUAUAUUUUCAACUAUUUACAUUGCUUUCAACAACAUUCAUUAAGACAUGUUUAUGCAGGCUUUUAGUAAGUAUAUGGAAUGGUAAAGUGAGCUUUAAUACUUUCUUCUUCACUCUCUGUAGUAGAGCAGAAGGGGUCCAAAACCAUGCACAAUUUAACAGUUCAGAAGAACUGUGUAAUCUUUACCUGGCUAGCACAUGGAAAAAAUAAACUAUAUACAAGAAUACAAAACUCCUAAAGUGUUCUUCAACUAUCAACAGGUUAAGUGAUUCAUAUUUGCAAAAAGACAGGAUGUUUGUUCACUGGUAGAUUCUUAGUAAGUUUCAGGUAAAGAACGUGCAUAAAACAUAUGUUAUCGAUGAAAAUGGAAGUGAUGCAGUAUACCCCACGUUCUCACGUUAAAUCGGCAGUAUCAGAAGCUAAGUCUCUUCUCCAGCACCUCCUUCAGGGACCGUGAGCUCCUUGAGGUCACUGCUCUGUCUCCACAGCAGAGCACAGUACCUAACAUGUGGCAGGACUCAAUAAAAGGUGGGUCAAUGUAUUUCUGACACAAAACAAUUAAAUUGUGCCACCUUAUUUUGACUACAGUUGUUCAUAAGAGAGGAUAACGAUGACAUUUUGUAUCCUCUCAUAUUAAAUCAGUCUUGUAAACAAAAGACAAUUGCUUGUGAUGGCCUGUUAAGUUUUAGGAGUACAAUCUGGUGAAAAACACAGAAAAAAACUGUAAAUCAAAUUGGAACAGGUCUAGUAUGUAUUUGCUAUGCUGAAAAUAAAGGCACUUUACUGCUAGGCAAGAAUAUAUCUGUGACUGAACAGUUUUCUCCAAGAAUCCAAUAUUUCCAGUAUAUUUUCAUAUACUUUCUUAUCUCUAAUACUCCUAUUAAAGGAAACUAUUAUUCAAAAUUAAGAGACAGUGGUGACAACAUCAUCAUCCUGGAUUUGUACCUUGAAGCAAUGUACUCGAUGAGCUCUAAAUCUCACAUUCACUAGUGAUCUGCAAGUGAAGCUGAAUAAAUAUAUUCUCUUUGUUCAGUCUUGGAAACUCAACAUUAGAAAUGACACGUGGGAAUAGAUCACCUUCUCUCUAGACUAAUAUCCCAUUUAUGACAGUCGUCUCCACAGCCCAUUGGGGCUUAUAAAGUAGCUGCCUUCUGUGACAUUCUGCUUGAAGACAAAGGCUUUGCCCAAACAUAACUCCUUUUAAAAAAGCACAACUUGUUUAGGCACACAGAGGUAAAGUGACUUACACAAAUCCACCCAGGAUUGUGAUUGGCAUGGUCUAAUCUACUGAAAAAUAUAAGGCCAGGCAAUUAUAUAGAUAUCUUUUAACAAGUUAGUCAAAUAGUGGGGACUUUUCUGACUAAAAAUUGAAAUUAAAUGGUAUGUUACUCUGUUAUAACUAAACAAACAAAAAAUCUAGAACAAGAACUUCUUGCUAGUUAUGGGUAAUGUAAAUACAGAGUAAGGUGAAGGAGGACUGUAUGUAUAUUUUUCCAACUUGAGAAGAUAUUAGAAAGGAAAUUAAAAAUUAUUUGAACCAAUUAACCAGCCCUAAAGAAGUACUCUGCUUUGUAUGAACUAAAAUAUCCAACAAAGAAAUAAAAUAGGCAUUGCCCAGCUUCUUUUAAUGUCUCAACUAGUAAAGUAAAAUAAACAUUAUUCAAAGGCAGACCAAACCAUUUCUAAUCUAAAUAUAUCUUCUUGCUUAUUAAAAUGACACACAUACAAAGCCUCUAAACACGAUCUACCAUGUCUUUAAAAAAUUUCUCAGUGACACAUACUAGAGGGGACCAAACUACUAAAGUAUAAGUACAUAUUUUAGCAUAACUGCUAAAUCACAAUGUAAUAAAAAGGUUUAUUAAAGAUUGCUAUUCUUUAUACAAUUUUUCUAUACUAAGGAUUUAUGUAUGCAUGCAUAAGUAUACACCUGUAUGUAUAUAUAACUAUUAUUUUAGUGAUAGUCUGUGUAUUUUACACACCAGUGCCACCAAGGGGCAACCUUACAAAUUUUAUCUGUAUGGCCAAAAAAAAUAAAAUAUCCUAAAAAUACAAGUAUACAAUACAUUAAACAGUUGGUAACUUCCUAGAUUAACCUUUACCAAAUACAAAAUAAUGGCAAUACAAUGUGUUUUGCUUCUAUUUUUUGUUUUUUUGCCAGAAUGAUAAAAAUAAAACUGCAUUGUCAAGAUAUUUGUACACACUCAGAAUUUUAAAAACUUAAGGAACAUACUGAAUUUUAGGCAAAAUUUAGGGGAAUCGGGACAUAGAUGGAAAACACAUUUUGGCGAAAGGUCCUUGAGAAUGCUGCAUUACUAUGUCCCUAAGAAAUUUUCUAUCCAAAUUAGUGAUAGAAACUCAGAUCAAAUAUCUUUUUUGUGGGUUGGAGGUAGAAGUUAACAAAUCAAGCAAAUCUCUCCUUCUACUCUCCCCAAAUCCAAACAUUCCUGCAUAUUUGAAACAAAUUUUCCUUUCCUAGACCAGUUGCUUAAUUCAUUAUCUACUUUUCCAAUAUUGAGUAAAUGUAUCUUUAGGGGCGCACAUGUAGAAUAUUAAUCCACUUAAAUGGGCUCAAAUUCUAAGAAAAUAUUAACUAUACUAAAUGUUAUGGGAAGAAAAUACAUUGAAUAUGAGUUAAGGGCCAGUGUUUAGCAUUCACAUCCAGAAUUCUCUGGAUCUCAGCUGACUUGUCCUAUACAUCAAAAUAUGGCAAUUUUUCAAUCACAAUACUGCUAAAUGUUAUUCAGGCAUAAAGUUUCUUACCCACUGUUCCCUCAAAUUCAUUUUUGACCCUACUAUUGGCAAUAGCCCUUUGCUAUUUAUAUAAUUAAAACUUUUCUUUAAAUUUCAAUUGACAGGAAAAAGAGUCAUUUUGUACUCUCUUAUCUAGAAUCAUGUCUCACUUCAAGUCAACGCUACAAUUGUCACUUUUAUUUUGAAAAGGAAGCUCAGAAGGAAAAAAACUCUUAGAUCUUCUAACAGAACAUUUUUUCUUCACUGAUAGACAUCCAAGGCCAUUCCAUUUCUAGAUCACACUUAUCCCUCAAUCAAGUCAGUGACUGGAUCAUCUCCUAAGGUUUCACCUGCUUUGCAUCAUCAGUGAGUUGGACUAUGGAUCAGGUACUGUGCUCAGCAUCAGAAAAUGGGAUGACAAUGAACAGAGUAACACGAGUAUAUUUGUGAAAAAGGAUGAACUUACUGGAAACAGGAUUGCGUGCCUGAAAUAGACCCAAAUGGAUAUAAAUGUCUGAACUCAGUUCUGGGCUGGAGAUAUAGACUUGGAAUGCACCAACAUGCAGAUGGCAAUCCUGGCAUGCCAGUAGGUGAGAUCAUCCAGAGGAAUGGCCUAUAAUGAGAGCCUAUAACAUGUCAGAUCAGGACAUAACGGUAAAGAGAAAUUAGACAGAGGCCCAGACAGAGGCCCAGUUCUCCAACAGAGUGCUAUGUAGCUUCCACUAAGACCAAAAGCCUCCUUCUACUGAGCACUUAAUAAGGAAUCAGUUGUCCUUUGUCAUUCAGAAUGGGAUCACCACAAAUGUCACUUAACAACAGGAAAAGCUGAAAUGCCUCAAUAAAUUAAUAAUCUGUCCACCUAUAGGCUCAAGCACCUCUUACUGCCUCCUCACUCUGGAACCAAAUGCCAUACUGUCUGCACUGCUCCCCAUUGCCUUCCCUCCUGCCUCACCAGUUGAUCCCUAUACCUCCUUCACAAUGAGCUCCAGGAGGCCUCUAACUUACAGGUGAGGCAGGCAUUUUUCUAUUCCCUUAACAUGACCAGUUGGUGUAUCAUGGUAAAUUUUAUUUCUAUCUCUCUUUCUAGACUGUCACUAUCUCAGGCUUAGAGUUUUAUUUAUUUUUUUCAGCUCCACUUCUUCAGCUGGCAAAACGCCUAGCAUAUAGUAGGAACUAAAAAAAUGUUUUCCGAAUUAAUGAAAGAAUGCAGAAUUGCAGCUCUGACUGUAACUAGUUUCCCAUGAAGACUAUAAUAGUCUAUUCUUUAUUUUUCCUAGAACACAAAAGGAUUUCAUAGAGUCUGGAAGACGGUUGCACAUUAAGCCCCUUUACCACCAUCAAUGUUCACUUUCUUUACUUUUCAUCCUAUAAAUGAUCUGGACUCUCCUUUUUGCUCUUUUUGUUUGUUUAUCUACUUUAAACAGUAAAGACAUCUACAUGCUUAUCUAUUUGCAUUAGUGCUGCAGAAGUUACUUUAUCAAUUAUUCCAUAGUCGAGGGAAACUUUAAACAAGAUAUAAUGAAUUUGGGCACUGCAAGUAAAAGCCAUAUACUAAAUGGCAAUCAGCAUUCAUUAUCUUAAAUGUAUAUAUCCUGUGUGUGGCAAAAAACAAGAACAACAAAAAGCAAAAAACAAACCAAGGGUUAUGUCCUUCAACCUUUGUGGAUCCCCAAAAUAUAAAUAUGGAACUGUUUAUACAGGCUUCUGUCUCCCAAAUCAUAUUUUCUUGAGAGUCACGUUUCAUGCCCUUAUCCUCACAUCACAAUGGAAUUGCCUUUCAGUUUUACUAAAGUUUUCUCCUACUUGAUAGCCUUUUUCAUAAACAAGAUUUUAAAAAUUACUUCUUAAGAAUUACUACACGUAUAGCAAGAAAAGUACAACACAGAGGGGUUGAGAUGUGAAUAGCAGGCAAUCUGCGAGGCUUAUGACCUAGCUAAGUAUCUCUCCAAUGCAGCAGUUCAAAUCUAUGCCUUGGUCAAAAUUCACUGAAUGAAUAUAUUAAGAGUCAUUAAAUUAUACCUUUGGAAUUGCCCGCAAGUCCUUUAAAUGGAAUGUUAUGUGUAGAAAUAUCAAGGUUCUGCUAUAACAAAUACAGCUCAGAGCAGAACAUCUGAAGUAUAUCCAUGUUAUGAUCUACCAUUAUAGAUAUAGAUCCAUAGACACAGAGUUAAGCUCUGGGGAAAACAACAACAACAACAAAAACGGGUACUGAAGACAAAUCAUCCAUCUAGGCAUAUAAAUUAAUUCUCUUUUCAAAGUGAAAUGAACAGCCAUAUUUAAAUAGCAUUCAUGAUAAUCCCAUUGAUCUCUUUACACUCUUUGGAAAGUUUAAUUCUAUCAAGCAAAAAUACCCAUGUUAAAACAAAAAGUUAUCAAGAAAAAGAGGGCUUAUAACAAAUGGGGUUCCCUGUUUAAGAAAACUAAAAACCGGCUCACGCCUGCAAUCCUAGCACUUUGGGAGGCUGAGGCGGGCGGAUCACGAGGUCAGGAGAUCGAGACCAUCCUGGCUAACACGGUGAAACCCCGUCUCUACUAAAAAUACAAAAAAUUAGCCGGGCGAGGUGGUGGGCGCCUGUGGUCCCAGCUACUGGGGAGGCUGAAGCAGGAGAAUGGCGUGAACCCUGAGGGGCGGAGCCUGCAGUGAGCAGAGAUCGCACCACUGCACUCCAGCCUGGCCGACAGAGCCAGACUCCAUCUCAAAAAAAAAAAAAAAAAAAAAAAAAAAAAAAAGAAAACUAAAAACUAGGGCACAUUUACAGAUAAGAGUGUUCACAACUUCUUCCUUAAAGAUCUGAAAGAGUAAGGAGUACAAUAAUGAAAUUUAAAACUGAAAUUUGAGAUGCCACAUUACUCAUAAACUAUACAAAGUCAAAUCAUUUACAUUUAAAAAUGAAAUGUUUAAUGCAAAACUAAAAAUAAAAGAGAACCAUUCAGCAAAAACUCAUUAAUAAGUGCAAUCAUAAAAUAAAACAACAUUCAAAAACAUAUUGGAGAAAACCAAGAAGUAGUGAAGUUAGACAGCAAACUAUCAGUGUUACGUAAUAUUAUUAUAGAGUUCAUGAAGUACUCAGAAUGUGGUCAUUAUAGUAGGUCUGAGAGUUGGUUAGCAUUGAAGGCACCUCUGGAAAUUAUGCUGAAGGGACUAGAUGGCUUCUAAAAUUAAACAGUUAUAUUUUCUUUUCCAUAAUUCCAGGGAUCCGAUGUUGUUACCAACCACAGUCUUCCUCCUGGCUCUUUGGCAGAACAGGGGGUAAAUGCUUAUACCCUGCUUGCAGUCUUAUGUCCUCUUUGCCACAUAACAUGGACUCCAAAAUUAGCAUCCUGCCUUAUUAAAAUGUAAAACGAACCUUUAUCAUCUAUCUUGCAAAUACUUUUGUUUUUGCACUUUUCAUUUGUCAAUCAUCUUAAUUUAGAGAGGCUUUUGCUGUAUAAAAGAUUUAAUUUUUUAAGGAGCCAAAAUAAUUAUCCUUACGAUAUUCAACUAUAGUGCCUUGCUUUUAAAAGAGGCUUCCUCAUUUUAUUAUUAUAUAUAAACCUAUAUUUUCCCUAGUACUUUUAUAGAUGUAUUACAUUUAAUCUUAUAAUCCAACUUAAUUUUUCCCCUAACUGCUAUUGGAGUCUUAUAACAUCUGAAUAGUUAUCCAUUCUCUGAUGAUCUGAAUUGUCACCAUAUACUAAAUUCAUGUUUGUUUCAACUAUUACUUACUUUUUCCACAUUUUAAUAUUUUUGAAAUCAGUAUGCAUGUUAUGAUCAAUAGCUUGACAGAGUAAAUUGAAAUCAUAUUUUACUUUCUUGGAGAUACAUAAAAUGUUGUAUUUCAUUCAAAAGUAUCUUACUUAAAAAUAAUGAAAUAUACCCUACUCUGUUAUAUACAAUAAUACAAUUAUAUAUGCCAGAUUAUGGGUCUACAUUUAGACUUUCUGUUCUGUUUCAUCAAUCUUGGCAUGUCUUUUAGCACCUAUACCAUACUUUUAAUUAUUUUACUUGUAUAUCAUUUUAAUUUCUGAAUUAAAUCUAAAUUUAAUUUCUGAAAGGGCAAUAACCAUCAGCUAUGAUUCUUUUUUACACCUCUAGUUGUAAGUAUUAUCAAUGUUUGUAAAUGUUGAUCAGGAACAACCUCCCCACCCCCACCCAAAUCUCACAAGGAUACAUAAUAAAAUUGAUGCAAAUCUAAUCUGGGGAGACUUGAUAUCUCGUAAACUAGAUUUCAAUCAUUUCAGAAAUGUAUUCACUUCUUAAUGAUUUUUAAGUCACUCAGAAUUUUGUAGCUUUCCUCAUAUAGAUGGCAUAUAUUUCUGGCCAAGUUUAUUCUUUGUUACUAUAGUAAAUGGGUUUUUUUUUCCAUUGUUUUCUAACAAAUUUGUCUUGGCAUAUAUUAAAGUUAUUUCUCUUUAAUAAUUUGAUAAUUAGGCUUCUUAUAAAACUCUUACUAGACAGGUACUUUCAGCUAAUUCUUUUUGGGUUUUCCAUUUAACACUAAUAUAAUUUGUAAGUUAUUUUAUUUUGCCUCCUUUUUUUCUGUGUCUCAUCUUAUUUCAACAUUGCCUCCCUUCUGAUUGCUUUGGUUAGAAUUUCCUUGGGCAAUAGUUUGUUUUUUUUUUUUAAUAACAAAUUCUUUCUCAGUUACUCCCAUGAACAAUUCUAAAAUCUUCUUGAGUUAGUAUUGGUUAUUACCAAUUUUUAUAGAAAUUCUCCAUUUCUCCAAAUGUUAAGCCCUAUUUGCUACACUGUAAUAUCAAGUAUCUUUUAAAAUGUCUUUGGUAUCUGUAGUUACAUUCCCUCUCUCAUUACUAUUUGCGUUUCUCUCUUAAUAUCCUCAUUAUCUGUUGGAGGUUUGUCUAUUAUUAUUGUGUUUGCCCACUAUCUCUUGUUUAUUUCUUCUCAUUUCAUAAGUUUGUUUUUUCAAUUUUUUCUUCUACUUUCUUUCUUCUCAUGUAUAUAUUUAUUUGGGGAAGGCAGCAGAGUGAGAAAGAGAAAGGUGCUGUUUUUCUAAUUUCAACGGUUGAAUGCUUAGUUAAAAUGUUUUCAUUAUUUCUUAAUAAUAAUAAAAUAUUUAAAGCUACAUAAUUUCCUCUGAGUAUAGCUUUGACAAUGUACCUUCAGUUUUUACGUUAUGUUGAUAGAACAAUUACUUUUCUAAAAUGCUGUAAUUUAAUUAUGACUUUUGAUUUCUUCUUUGUCAUUUAGGAGAAUGCUUUUCAGGUUCUAAGUGAGUAUUUUCCUUGCAAUUUAUCUUUUUAUUAUAUAUUAACAGUUUUAAUGCACUGUGAUCUAUGAAAGUGGCCAACAAUUCUGCUUUUCAGAAACGACUGACUUUGUGUUGCAUAUCAUCAAUAUUUGAUUUCUGACAUAUAUUUGAGAAUAAUUUAUAUUUUUAAAUUCUGAAACAUGAAAGUAAAGCUAUAUAUGUCAAUUAAAUCCACUUAAUUUUUAUCAAUUCUAAUGUUUCUUUAUUUUUUCCUAUAUUUUAACACUGACAAGUAUAUUUCAGGCCCACUGUGAUGAUCAUUUUGUCCAUUUCUCCGUGUAUUUUUAACAGCUUUAGUUUUUGUAUGUCAAUGAUGCUAUUUAGUUUAUUAGCAUUCACGGCAAUUACAUUUUCCUCUGUGAGUUUUAAUUUUACUCAAUGAAAGGUGAUUCUUUACAUUACGUUUUACCGUAUAUUCUACUUUGUUGGAUAGAAAUAUUGUUAUCCUUAUUCAAUUUUUGCCCAUGUUGUAUAAAAUGUGUCUUUAUAAAUGACGUAUACUUCACAGGUUCCAGGAAUUCCUUAGUGUUUCUGAUCCACUAAAGACUACUUCUCUGUUUUCUAGUGCUACUAAAAAAUUUUCCUUAUUUUUGUCUUUCUUCAGUCAAUUAUUAAAUCUGUAAUCCUUACAUUGUUUUUAUUAUGUAGAUCUUCACUUCUGUAAUUCUAAACUAUAAUAUCUUAAUUCUAUUUUUUUCUAGUUUUCUUCCACCUAUUACUGCCCUUACACCCUACAGUCUUAUUUCCUUGUGCUUAUUAUAACUAAGCAUAAUUUACAAUUCUCUAAUUGGGAAAUAACCUGGAUACUUUAAGUAAUACAAGCAAUGUAUACCAUGGAAGACAAUGUACAAUUAUAAACAAAUGAAUAGUGAUAUUGCCAAGUGAUAAAAUCUAAUAUGAAAAGUAAAAUGAAGUAGUAGUCAAACUUAAGCUGAUAUAACAUUAGAAUACUUAUUUAUGCCUUGGAAUUCUACUGCAACACACAGAUGAGCAGGUUAUCUCUCCACGUAUUCACCUAUUUAAAGGUCCACCCCUGAGCAACUUAUUAAAUAAAGCCAAAAUAAAUUAACAGAGUAAGAUAAGAUGAUGUGGUAGUGACAAUCAAUGAUUCAAAAAUUUAUUAAGCCCUACUCAAAAAAUCUCUGCAGGCAUGCAGGUCUCCCAAAUUUUAUUGAUAGAAAGGAACUAAAAUGAGGUGCCAUUUGGAGCAUCGGAAUGAUGUAGGUGUUUAGCCAGUUCAAAUAGGCUAACAGAACAAGUUUGAAAGUGUAAGAGACUUAGAAAAUUCAUUGUGGAAGGAAAAAACAGAACCUUCUUACAGUGUACAUGAGAAAGGAUUAAGAUAGUAACCAGUUGACAAAUACAUAUUUCUUUGUCAUAUUUCUCUGUCAAACAAUGUGUGGUACAGCACUGUAAUUUUUAUUUUUAUGCUUUUAUUUAUUAACAAGGAGAUGAAAAAGCAAGCUAUUUAAAGUGGAGAUGUUCUAAGUAUCUUUUUUUAAAAAAAUUUUUCAAUGGGAAUAGGACUAAUUUCUGCAAAAUUUAUCCUGAAAUUGGUAUGGAAAAAAUAGGCAUAAAAAUGUCUGGUAAAUAUGAUAUUGGAAAAAGGCAUUUAGCAUAAUAAGCAGGGAAAACAAUUAGUUAAAAUAAAUGAACGUUCAAUGAGAAAUAUAUUUCCUUAAAAGUACUGGAAGCAAAGUAGUGGAAACACUUGUGUAUUAGCCAGAGCACUAAGAAAACAUUUGAUAGGAAACAAUACCUCAGGGAAUAAAUGUGAUGAGACAGCAGGCCCCAUACUGGUGUAAUGUCUAUAAUUCCAUCUAAAUGUCAGUAAUGGAAAAAAUGAGAGGAAGGAAGAAGAUUACAAAAAACACAUGUGUCCGUCUGUCUUUCUGCACGUAACUCUAUAGGGAUUCUCUAUUAGAAUUACAUAAUAGUGGAAUCUGGUCUAUGACAUGUAAGACAAAUUAUCCACACCAUGACAUUUUCCAUGCUACAACUGUAGGUACAUAAGUAUAGUCCAGAAAUCAAAUUCUUAGUUUUGUCACCCUUGUAAAGCAGCAGGAACACUGGAAAUUUUCCCCCUUAUAUUUGGGAUCUACUUGAGAACCUCCCUUCACCCCACACAAAACCUGACUAGAGAAAUCAUUUCUUUCUCCUUUCUUUUUAUGUACAAAGAAUUUUUCUCUCCAAAAUCUACAUUUGCCUACUUUUGGCUCUGUCAUCAAGUAGGGUGAUACAAAAUACAUGCCAAGAGAAGUCUGAUUGUUUCAUUUUUUAUUUUUUUGCUUACUUGUCUGACACAGUGACAGGAUCACAGAAUGUGAAUUUUGAACAGAUCUGAAAAGUUAUUAAGUUCAACUCCACAGAGGUGAGUAAUGUGCCCAUAAGUGUGGUUGAAGAUGAGUGGCGCUAACACAAUGCUAUGAGUCCGACCCCCAGUCCAGCGCUCUUUCCAUGUCGUCUAACUCGCUCUUAUUUACUUUCACAUAAAGUGACAAAGGGGCCUGAUGCCUAACUUCCUCCAGCCACUCCCCAUUCCCAGUUACUAUUCCAAAGAAAUGUUGCUGGGGAAAAGUGAAGAUGUGACUUGAUGGGGCAAGCUGCCACUCUGCCUUCCUUCCUAUGACAACUUACUAGUAAAUAAUACAUUCCUUCUGGAAUUUAAUUUCACAUUUUCAAAGGCCAAAGACAGCUUGCAGUAAAUCUUUAUACUUAUAAAAAAGCAUUUUAAACAGCAUAACAUUUAUAAUAUAGUUUUCCCCUUGAACUCCCUAAGAAAUAAAAUUUUAUAACAUUUACUUGGUAUCAUAUUGUAAGGCACCCUUGGCAGUUUUCUUUUAUUGCUCAUGUUAGAGAUCUGAUCAGUGACAAUCUUUAAAAAAGAUCUCACAGAUUCAUUAGCCUCCACUUUUUUCUCUGAGAACUGUAGAAGAGUUGACUCAACAGCCCAGCAGGGGGUUGGCACGCUGGUUUCUAAGCGGCUUUAAUGCACAAUUCACCAGGGUCAGGAGCUGACCCUCAACCUUGUAGCUUAGGCACUAGAUUAGCAUACUGAAGACUGCUGGGGUGGAGUCACAGUAACUAAGUUGACAAGACUGAUUUAUAAAACCAGAAUAGUAUCAAUGUUCAAAAAGAAACAGAUCUGUCCCAGAAACAGAAGUAUAAGCACCUGCAGCUCCAGCCCAUUGCCUCAAGUCCAGUUCAUACAGUAAGAAACAACUUUCAGGGCAACCAGUAUAUUUGAGAGGACAUGAAUAAUGCAUUCUCUUCCCAUAAGCUAACCUACACUGGAAAAGAAAGUAAUCAGUACAAGUUGGAUUGGUGGGACUGGAAUCAGAACAAGGGAAAUUAGAGUCAGAGAAUGUUGAAUUGUGCUAAGCUGAUGUAUUCCUUUGACAAUAAGCAUGCAUUCUAGGCAGAGGGACUGGGAAUUGGAAAGAUAUUACUGGCUAUAAUCUGAUGCAUCCAUUGCACCUAGUGAAGGCUCACCAUAUGGUCAGAAUACUCGAUGCACACUGAUACAACUCUCUACAUCCGUCUCUGUGUUAGGGACAAAUGUUACUUUACUCUUGCACAGAACUUGGACAGUCACUUUUAAUAUCUGUCUUUUCUUUUUCUAUUUUCAUUACUGAUACCUUCUGCCCCUUCUUUCUGACUAAAACUCUCAUUCAAUAAAAUUACAGUCAAAUCUUGCAACUGGAAAAGUAUUCAGACUUUUAAAGUUAUAUUUAUAUAUCUAAAUGUUGCUCCAUUAGGGUUUUAAUUCUAAAUUUAACCUUUAAAAAGUUAUCAUAUUUUCUUUACUUCCAAGUUCCUAGGAGAAUGUUAACAGUCCAGACCUUUUUCACUACAUCAACCAUGGAUGAUUGGCAUAUAAAAUCCUACUUAACCUUUACAUAACUGCAAUACCAGGAAACAAAUAUGUCAAUAAAAGGAAACAUCAUUCAAUUUUUCUGAGAAUGCAUUCUUCCAUCAUUCCUGAAGUAGAGGUUUUUCUAUAAUCAUGUUAAGAACAUAAGCUCCUGAGGGCAGGAAUUUCUGCUUUGUUCAUCAAUUUAUCCCAACUGCCAAGAACAGUGGAGUGCUCAAUAAAUAUUAAAUGAAUAAAUAAAUAUAACCUAUAAUCUAAACUACAUUCUUAAAAAAAGUCAACAUCCAGGAAAUAAGACUCUAAAACAAUACACAUUAUCUACUUAAUAUCUCUUAUACAGUCUACUAAAUUCAAUACAUCAUCAAUCAUUUUUAAAAAAUUCUGCUGAAAUAGGAUAAUAAUUACAA